GGCGCUGUGGCUUAGUUGGUUAAAGCGCCUGUCUCGUAAACAGGCGAUCCUGGGUCCAAAUCCCAGCAGUGCCU
This 74-nucleotide transfer RNA is filed under the name Oryzias latipes (Japanese medaka). RNAcentral describes it as "tRNA-Thr (CGT) (tRNA-Thr-CGT-10-1)". It matches the Rfam family "tRNA". From Rfam's summary of the family: Transfer RNA (tRNA) molecules are approximately 80 nucleotides in length. Their secondary structure includes four short double-helical elements and three loops (D, anti-codon, and T loops). Lineage: Eukaryota; Metazoa; Chordata; Actinopteri; Beloniformes; Adrianichthyidae. The record is from Rfam by way of RNAcentral.